Pan paniscus (pygmy chimpanzee) is the source of this 277-nucleotide long non-coding RNA. Lineage: Eukaryota; Metazoa; Chordata; Mammalia; Primates; Hominidae. The record is from Ensembl.
AUCUAGUACAAUCCAUGCAUGCUUCCACAUAUUUUGGCAGGAGAAAGUAGGAGUCCACUGACAAUGGUUUGGGAUAUUACUAGCCAGUGUUCCUGAAUUUAUACAUUUUUUAUCUCUUUCUGCCUUUCACACUUUUUGCUACAGUAAUCUACACACAAGACUUGCUCAAUGCUUUCAUGAUUUUAACCACAAAGAGGAAGAGAAAAACAAGAAGGGCAUGGUAUACAGUGACACACCGUUUGCAGUAGAAGCGAGGGGAAAUGAUCUGAACAACUGA